RNAcentral lists this transfer RNA (70 nucleotides) under Narcine bancroftii (Caribbean electric ray). Its description in RNAcentral is "tRNA-Phe". It matches the Rfam family "tRNA". Rfam says of the family: Transfer RNA (tRNA) molecules are approximately 80 nucleotides in length. Their secondary structure includes four short double-helical elements and three loops (D, anti-codon, and T loops). Lineage: Eukaryota; Metazoa; Chordata; Chondrichthyes; Torpediniformes; Narcinidae. The record is from RNAcentral.
GCUAGUGUAGCUUAUUUAAUAGCCUAGCACUGAAGAUGCUAAGGUAAAGUUUUAAAAACUUUCACAAGCA